RNAcentral lists this unclassified non-coding RNA (1620 nucleotides) under Hevea brasiliensis (rubber tree). Lineage: Eukaryota; Viridiplantae; Streptophyta; Magnoliopsida; Malpighiales; Euphorbiaceae. The record is from RNAcentral.
CACCCCCACCUCAGCUCAUUCAUCUCACUCACCAGUUGUUGCCUGGUUGGUGAAUACCCACAAUUCUUCUACCUUAAGAUAAUUCCAUAAAUUUCAUAGUUCUAGAUCUUCGUUUUUUGUAAUCAAUUGCAUACCCACCAACUGUUUGUAUAAUUGUUUAAGAGAGAGAGAGUUGUCGUUCGUUUGGAUUGUAAGAAAAACAGAGUAAUAUGGCGAGGAAGAAGAUCAGAGAGUAUGAUUCAAAGAGGCUUCUAAGGGAGCAUUUGAAACGCCUUGCUGGCAUUGAUCUUCAGAUCUGCUCUGCUCAAGUGACAGAAUCUACAGAUUUUACUGAGUUAACAAACAAAGAACCAUGGCUUUCAUCGACAAAGCUGGUUGUAAAACCAGACAUGCUGUUUGGAAAGCGUGGAAAGAGUGGCUUGGUAGCUUUGAAUCUGGAUCUAGCAGGAGUUGCUGAGUUUGUAAAAACACGACUUGGUGUGGAGGUUGAAAUGGGUGGCUGCAAGGCACCUAUAACAACAUUUAUUGUUGAACCAUUUGUUCCCCAUGACCAAGAAUAUUACCUUUCCAUAGUCUCUGAAAGGUUGGGCUGCACAAUUAGCUUUUCAGAAUGUGGAGGCAUUGAGAUUGAAGAGAACUGGGACAAGGUCAAGACAAUAUUCCUUCCAACGGAGAAACCUAUGACCCUAGAGGCGUGUGCUCCACUGAUUGCUACUCUGCCCUUGGAGGUACGGGGAAAGAUUGGCAAUUUCCUUAUGGGUGUUUUUGAUGUGUUUCAAGAUCUCGAUUUUAGUUUCAUAGAGAUGAACCCAUUUACGCUUGUAAAUGGAGAGCCUUACCCAUUGGAUAUGAGAGGAGAGUUGGAUGACACAGCAGCCUUCAAAAAUUUUAAGAAGUGGGGAAGCAUCGAGUUUCCUCUGCCUUUUGGAAGAGUUUUGAGCCCUACCGAAAGCUUCAUUCACUCUUUGGAUGAGAAAACUAGUGCCUCUUUAAAAUUUACAGUUUUGAACCCAAAAGGUCGUAUCUGGACAAUGGUGGCUGGAGGUGGUGCAAGCGUUAUAUAUGCUGAUACAGUAGGGGAUUUAGGUUAUGCCUCUGAGCUUGGUAACUAUGCCGAGUAUAGUGGAGCUCCAAAUGAAGAGGAGGUUCUGCAAUAUGCUCGAGUAGUUCUAGAUUGUGCUACUGCAAAUCCUGAUGGGCGUAAGAGAGCUCUGAUUGUUGGAGGUGGUAUUGCCAACUUCACUGAUGUAGCUGCUACUUUCAAUGGGAUUAUUCGGGCUCUCAGGGAGAAGGAAGCCAAGCUAAAAGCGGCUAGAAUGCAUAUCUAUGUACGAAGAGGUGGUCCAAAUUAUCAGACUGGUCUAGCAAAAAUGCGCGCCCUAGGAGAGGAACUUGGAGUUCCCCUUGAGGUUUAUGGACCAGAGGCUACAAUGACGGGAAUUUGUAAAGGGGCAAUUGAUUGCAUUAUGUCUGAAGCAUAAGUGCCAAAUGAGAAAGAAGACUUGUGUUACAUUCUUGCAAUUAAGAAGAAACUUUGUUGGAUAUUUAAUUUGCCUUCUGAUAUUGUUUUGUUACAAAUGGGACCUUUAAAGAAUAAUUUGAGAUCCUUUUGUUUUACCU